RNAcentral lists this unclassified non-coding RNA (345 nucleotides) under soil metagenome. RNAcentral's name for it is "partial contains 5.8S ribosomal RNA, internal transcribed spacer 2, and large subunit ribosomal RNA". The stretch from base 1 to 120 matches the Rfam family "5.8S ribosomal RNA", at positions 35 to 154 of the family's 154-position model. The record is from RNAcentral.
GAUGAAGAACGCAGCGAAAUGCGAUACGUAAUGUGAAUUGCAGAAUUCAGUGAAUCAUCGAGUCUUUGAACGCACAUUGCGCCCCCUGGUAUUCCGGGGGGCAUGCCUGUCCGAGCGUCAUUGCUGCCCUCAAGCACGGCUUGUGUGUUGGGCUUCCGUCCUCCUCCCGGGGGACGGGCCCGAAAGGCAGCGGCGGCACCGCGUCCGGUCCUCGAGCGUAUGGGGCUUCGUCACCCGCUCUUGUAGGCCCGGCCGGCGCUUGCCGACACAUCAAUCUUUUUUCCAGGUUGACCUCGGAUCAGGUAGGGAUACCCGCUGAACUUAAGCAUAUCAAUAAGCGGAGGA